This 625-nucleotide ribosomal RNA is filed under the name Globigerinella calida. RNAcentral describes it as "SSU rRNA". The stretch from base 1 to 537 matches the Rfam family "Eukaryotic small subunit ribosomal RNA", at positions 1295 to 1607 of the family's 1831-position model. The record is from RNAcentral. Lineage: Eukaryota; Foraminifera; Rotaliida; Globigerinidae.
UAGUUCGUGGAGUGAUCUGUCUGCUUAAUUGCGUUUCAAAUGUAUUUUUGAUUUAUCAAACGAGUCUACGAAGGACCUAUUCAUACAAGCACUUCAUUUAUGAUUUGUUUGGAAUUUGGUUCUUUCGGCUCAAUUGAACGCAACGGACGUGAUUGCAAGUCCUUGUUGAACUUCUGUAUAUAUCAUUUACAUUCUUAACUGAGUGUAUCUAAGAUAAUAGAGUUCGCUUUCUAUUGGUGACGGGAUCUCCUCAUUCGUGGAGUGAUCUAAUCCUCUAGGAAAACUCGGGCGACCGCUGUAAUACUUUCUUUUUAAAACAGAGGAAGAUUGCGGCAAUAACAGGUCUGUGAUGCCCUCAGAUGUCCCGGGCCGCACACGUGCUACAUUGAUUAGCGCAGUGCGCAUACUUUCAAUAUGAUACAUUGGUUUUGGUAGUAAGCUAUUCAUCUGAUGGAUAUGCUACUCUCCAUACCAAUACUAUCUAGUCUGAAAAGACUGGGUAAUCUAUUGUAAGUGCUGGUUCCUCUUCCCGUUGAGCAUUUUAAUAAUGGUCUCUCUACGUCCCUAGUAUAUUCUAGUGCGAUUGUAGUUGAGUCUGCCAUUUAUGCAAGUGUCAAUUCUCAGU